GUUUGUGUAGUUUUUGUAUGAAGGCAGUGACGCAUGACAGUGUUAGAAACGGGCAUACCUAUUUACUUAAGGCUCUCCAUCAGCUCCCAGUUAUGUUUUGGUGCACAGCCGGGCUC
This is a long non-coding RNA of Sphaeramia orbicularis (orbiculate cardinalfish), 116 nucleotides long. RefSeq lists it as uncharacterized. The record is from RefSeq and is a predicted model, not a curated record. The transcript has 3 exons. NCBI's taxonomy places the organism in Eukaryota, Metazoa, Chordata, Actinopteri, Kurtiformes, Apogonidae.